Molecule: ribosomal RNA, 440 nt
Filed under: uncultured bacterium
Lineage: Bacteria
Description: partial 16S ribosomal RNA
Rfam family: Bacterial small subunit ribosomal RNA
Source: RNAcentral
CCUACGGGAGGCAGCAGUGGGGAAUAUUGCACAAUGGGGGAAACCCUGAUGCAGCGACGCCGCGUGAGUGAAGAAGUAAUUCGUUAUGUAACGCUCUAUCAGCAGGGAAGAAAAUGACGGUACCUGAGUAAGAAGCCCCGGCUAACUACGUGCCAGCAGCCGCGGUCAUACGUAGGGGGCAAGCGUUAUCCGGAUUUACUGGGUGUAAAGGGAGCGUAGACGGCAGUGCAAGUCUGGAGUGAAAGGCGGGGGCUCAACCCCCGGACUGCUCUGGAAACGGUACGGCUGGAGUGCAGGAGAGGUAAGUGGAAGUCCGAGUGUAGCGGUGAAAUGCGUAGAUAUUAGGAGGAACACCAGUGGCGAAGGCGGCUUACUGGACUGUAACUGACGUUGAGGCUCGAAAGCGUGGGGAGCAAACAGGAUUAGAUACCCCAGUAGUC